This is a long non-coding RNA of Tympanuchus pallidicinctus (lesser prairie-chicken), 2799 nucleotides long. RefSeq lists it as uncharacterized. NCBI's taxonomy places the organism in Eukaryota, Metazoa, Chordata, Aves, Galliformes, Phasianidae. The record is from RefSeq and is a predicted model, not a curated record. The transcript is spliced from 5 exons.
CCUCAGGCCAACGUGGUCUCGAAGGCUUAGCCGUGCGUGGAGGGCGGCAGCGCCCCUGAGGAUGAGGUCCAAAUAUCGCCAUUAGCAGACAGCCGAUAUUCCAGGCAGGUGCACAGCUGGCAGCUGCGGGUGCCCACAGCUCUCACUGGUAGCCCCAGGCACACGCAGGAUUUCCGAGAAGGCAAUGUAAAGGAUAUCCACCCUCAAUCAUUGCUUUUGUCCCCUGCAGAGGGGGGUGAGGAGGCUGCCAAGAACUGUUUCAGAAUGGAUGAAGGCCCUUCACCAAAGGUCUGAAGACUGUGGUGGUGAGCAGGCAUGGGCACAUUAACUAUCCAACAUCUUUUGUCUCCAAAUAUAUUCCAAGUUUUCCCUCUUCAUGAGAGACCGUUCUUGUCUUGCUCAGCCCAGUAGUCACUAAUGUACUCACAGCCACACUACAGUUCCUGCCUGGCAACAGCUCAGCUCUCAGGAAUCUACAUGGGAGGAGUAGGGGAGAAUAAAUUGCCAUCAAGCUGCUCAAAAUAACAAAACAGUGUAUGUGAAUUCUACUGUUUCAACUGUUAAGUGCUAACAAACAAACUUCAGUGCUGUUAGGGCUCCUCAGGACAUCUGAGAUAAAGAAAUCAAAGGAGGAAUUUGCUGGCCAGGUCACUAACAAGUCUGCAAACCCAAGCUGCUUAGGAGGAGGUGAAACGAACAGCCAAAUGAAGUGCACCACAGGCAACACACUGAGGGGAUUUUGAGAACUAAGGUCAUCAUACAACCGUCAAGUGCUGAACAUCUUCAAUCCACCAACAGGAGCCAUUCGUUGUUACAACCAGAAAGGCUUUAGUGCUAUUCCUAACAUGUAUGUGUCCUCCUCCUGCCCAGCUACAAAAUCAGCUGAGUUUGCAAAUACACUGGUUCUGGUUGACGGUACAGAACAGAGACCUAUUGGUCAUGGGGAUCUGGGUGUCUGCCCAUGGGGAAUUUCUUAUGAUAAAGACUAUGAGAACAGAGAAGUCAAAUCCCAAUCUUGCUGAAAAACAAGUGGACUGCAAGCAGGUAAUCACAGGCACAAUCCCAGUUCUGAUGCUUCUGGAGUAGGAAUACAGUGCUUCUUACCUGAAUUAUAUUCUCUUGACCUCAGAAUUCAUGUUCUUGAUAUCAGCCCUCAGGAAAACAAGCUGAACUUCAUCUGGCUGAGAUCUCCAGCUCCUCUUGCUGUCAGGAUGCCCUCUGUUGCUCAGACUACAGGCAGAGCUGCAGUGUCAGAAGAGCUGAAUUCUGCUUUCUUCAGUAGUUUUGCAACAUGGAGCACACUGUUUAGCAGAGCCCGAUUUUGUGGGGUGCUCUCUGUUUAUUAUGCCCCUCUGUUUAUUUGGAAAGAAAGUGUCUCAUGUUUGUUUCAACUAAUUGUGAUUGACUUUCUGUUUUAGCUCAGCUGUGCUUAGUCAAGGUAGAAAAACCCAAACAUCCACAAAUAAAAGGCAAUGUUGUGUCAUACCUGCAAGCUAUUUAUUAUAACAGCAUAUUCGUAAAGACCCCACGCGUUUUAAGGCUACUCUCUGCAAACUCAAUCAUAAAGAAGAGAACACACCGAAGUGAAAAACAGUCUAAAACAGCAUUUCACAGGAACAUAAUUUAGUCAUACGUGUCUUGUACUUCACUGCUAAUCUCCCUCAUACACAGCGGAUCUCUACAACAGAACGUGCUCUAUGAAAAGCAGAUGGGUUAACAGAUCAUUUGCAUCAAUCUAAAAGAAAACCUUCCUACUCAACAUAUGCUUAGUUCCCACAGAUUAAAGGUUUGGGGAUUUUCAUCCUCCUUGAGCUCGAUUCACAAGAACAUGGGAAGGACUCUUCAGGUGCAGCUCCCUGAAAACCGACACGGCUCACAUUUCAGUAUAAGGUGCUCACCAAGAGAAGAAAAGGAGGGCAGGCAUUCCUUACUAGGGAAUUAUUUCUUAUAACAAUGAGAGCAACACAGCUGGAAAGUGGACUGCUCUGGGCUUCUGCAAUGGCUCUAGCCCCUGUUAAGGGCCCAGUCCCCUUCACUGAAACACAGCUGUGAUGAAGCUACUCGGAAUCUAACCAGGAGGGAACUAUGCUAAGCCAGGACUUGCCUUUUCUGACCUGGUUUAGUCAGAGGAUGCUUUUCCUGACCCACCAAUUCUGUCUGCAUGGAAAUUGCAUCCAAGAGUGAAAGCAGGUGAGACUUAGAAUAAUUCACUCAAGCUCCUCAGGAACUUGAAAUUGGUUCCUAAGCAAAAAAGGUUUAAAUACUUUUCAAGAACAACUUAAGAGGCAAGACAAACAAGUAAAACAGAAAUCUGCAGGCAUGAUCAAAAACAUCGCUGCUCUACGACAUGCAACAGCUAGCUAAGAUUGAUCUGCUAAAUAUUACUUGCCUAUCUUGUUAGCUUCAUUGAAGUGACACACAGUAAGGCAUCAACAGUUUUGUAUUUUGAUCAACAAAGACAAUUUUCAUACUCUAACAUCAUGCCUCAGCUUUUUGCAUUAAACUUUUACAUUUACAAGACUGGUGGUCAUCCUACUGAUAGAUCUCUGAUAGAUUGGAACAAUGUAAUAUUAAAGCAUGAAUAUUUAGUUGCUUAAUAACCCAAGAUUUUAGAAAACCCAGCACACCCAGCACACCCCAUGGAAAGAAUGCAGACACUGCACUGACGAGAUGUCCAAGGAACUGGUUUAGAAACGUGCCAGCCUGCGCUGCAUUGGCUUUCCAUCUGAAGUUAUUUCACAAAACAAUGAUUCCCUCUUUGUUUUUAUUUUUAUUUUAUUUGUUUGGGGGCACAAUCCG